CCUACGGGGGGCAGCAGUGAGGAAUAUUGGUCAAUGGGCGGAAGCCUGAACCAGCCAAGUCGCGUGAGGGAAUAAGGCCCUACGGGUCGUAAACCUCUUUUGCCGGGGAGCAACGGGCGCCACGUGUGGCGUCACUGAGAGUCCCCGGAGAAAAAGCAUCGGCUAACUCCGUGCCAGCAGCCGCGGUAAUACGGAGGUUGCGAGCGUUAUCCGGAUUUAUUGGGUUUAAAGGGUGCGUAGGCGGAUCGUUAAGUCAGUGGUCAAAUUGAGGGGCUCAACCCCUUCCCGCCAUUGAAACUGGCGUUCUUGAGUGGAAGAGAGGUAUGCGGAAUGCGAGGUGUAGCGGGGAAAUGCAUAGAUAUCACGCAGAACCCCGAUUGCGAAGGCAGCAUGCCGGCUUCCGACUGACGCUGAAGCACGAAAGCGUGGGGAUCGAACAGGAUUAGAUACCCUUGUAGUC
This 460-nucleotide ribosomal RNA is filed under the name uncultured bacterium. RNAcentral's name for it is "partial 16S ribosomal RNA". It matches the Rfam family "Bacterial small subunit ribosomal RNA", at positions 338 to 795 of the family's 1533-position model. The record is from RNAcentral.